This is a long non-coding RNA of Octopus sinensis (East Asian common octopus), 104 nucleotides long. RefSeq lists it as uncharacterized. The transcript is spliced from 3 exons. Lineage: Eukaryota; Metazoa; Mollusca; Cephalopoda; Octopoda; Octopodidae. The record is from RefSeq and is a predicted model, not a curated record.
UAUAUAUAUAUAUAUAUAUAUAUAUAUAUAACUAAAAUGUUUGUUAUAAGCAUGUAUAAGAUAAAAUCUUAUAUAAAAAACUACUAACAAUUAGAAAAAUGUAG